RNAcentral lists this ribosomal RNA (497 nucleotides) under uncultured bacterium. RNAcentral's name for it is "partial 16S ribosomal RNA". It matches the Rfam family "Bacterial small subunit ribosomal RNA", at positions 28 to 507 of the family's 1533-position model. The record is from RNAcentral.
GAUGAACGCUGGCGGCGUGCCUAAUACAUGCAAGUCGAGCGAACAGACGAGGAGCUUGCUCCUCUGACGUUAGCGGCGGACGGGUGAGUAACACGUGGAUAACCUACCUAUAAGACUGGGAUAACUUCGGGAAACCGGAGCUAAUACCGGAUAAUAUAUUGAACCGCAUGGUUCAAUAGUGAAAGACGGUUUUGCUGUCACUUAUAGAUGGAUCCGCGCCGCAUUAGCUAGUUGGUAAGGUAACGGCUUACCAAGGCAACGAUGCGUAGCCGACCUGAGAGGGUGAUCAGCAACACUGGAACUGAGACACGGUCCACAGUCCUACGGGAGGCAGCAGUAGGGAAUCUUCCGCAAUGGGCGAAAGCCUGACGGAGCAACGCCACGUGAGUGAUGAAGGUCUUCGGAUCGUAAAACUCUGUUAUUAGGGAAGAACAAAUGUGUAAGUAACUAUGCACGUCUUGACGGUACCUAAUCAGAAAGCCACGGCUAACUACGUG